UACGUAGGGAGCAAGCGUUGUCCGGAAUCAUUGGGCGUAAAGCGCGCGUAGGUGGCUUCGUAAGUCCGUUGUGAAAGUCAAAGGCUCAACCUUUGAAAGCCGAUGGAUACUGUGAAGCUAGAGUACGGAAGAGGCGAGUGGAAUUCCUGGUGUAGCGGUGGAAUGCGCAGAUAUCAGGAGGAACACCAAUGGCGAAGGCAGCUCGCUGGGACGUUACUGACACUGAGGCGCGAAAGCGUGGGGAGCGAACAGG
RNAcentral lists this ribosomal RNA (253 nucleotides) under uncultured bacterium. RNAcentral describes it as "partial 16S ribosomal RNA". It matches the Rfam family "Bacterial small subunit ribosomal RNA", at positions 524 to 776 of the family's 1533-position model. The record is from RNAcentral.